Gymnogyps californianus (California condor) is the source of this 529-nucleotide long non-coding RNA. RefSeq lists it as uncharacterized. The record is from RefSeq and is a predicted model, not a curated record. NCBI's taxonomy places the organism in Eukaryota, Metazoa, Chordata, Aves, Accipitriformes, Cathartidae. The transcript has 2 exons.
ACUUCAUGCUGUCUGGGGGGUCCCCAACACGGCUUUGCAUCAGGGGACCUUUGCAGGACAAGUGGCGGGAGGCAUCAUCUGUUAUAGUUACGCUGCAAAAAGGAGCAUCUUCCCAAGAUCAUGCCCUGCUACUCAGGAGGGGCUGCAGCGCGGAGGAGAAGCCUGCAGUUCUGUGUCUAGCUGUAGCAAGCAAACGCCAGUGUGUUAGGAUCUACAGCAAAGCGGGGAAAAGGAAUAGAUGAAGGUACAGAAACACAUCUGAAAAUGUCCGCAAUUUGGGAACACUGCUGGCUCAACCUCUGUAACACAAAAUUAUUGACUGAAUGCCCGCCUUGCGGACUUGUAAUUUGUUUGUAUAUCAUACUGUAUUCCUAUCUUCUGUACCUAUGUGGUAUUUAUGUAACAGAAAAAUCUUGAUGUUUUCUGCUCUCCUUUCUGCACCAGAAACCUGUCUUGCUGUUGCGAUGUCUAACUUUAGCCCUGCUUUAUUGGUAUUUUAUUAAAGUCCCAUGUAAUUUUUCUAAUGAUG